AGUGAACGCUGGCGGUAGGCCUAACACAUGCAAGUCGAACGGCAGCACAGUAAGAGCUUGCUCUUACGGGUGGCGAGUGGCGGACGGGUGAGGAAUACAUCGGAAUCUACUUUUUCGUGGGGGAUAACGUAGGGAAACUUACGCUAAUACCUCAUACGACCUACGGGUGAAAGCAGGGGAUCUUCGGACCUUGCGCGAUUGAAUGAGCCGAUGUCGGAUUAGCUAGUUGGCGGGGUAAAGGCCCACCAAGGCGACGAUCCGUAGCUGGUCUGAGAGGAUGAUCAGCAACACUGGAACUGAGACACGGUCAAGACUCCUACGGGAGGAAGCAGUGGGGAACAUUGGACAAUGGGCGCAAGCCUGAUCCAGCAAUACCGCGUGGGUGAAGAAGGCCUUCGGGUUGUAAAGCCCUUUUGUUGGGAAAGAAAAGCAGCAGGUUAAUACCCCGCUGUUCUGACGGUACCCAAAGAAUAAGCACCGGCUAACUUCGUG
RNAcentral lists this ribosomal RNA (492 nucleotides) under uncultured bacterium. RNAcentral's name for it is "partial 16S ribosomal RNA". It matches the Rfam family "Bacterial small subunit ribosomal RNA", at positions 29 to 507 of the family's 1533-position model. The record is from RNAcentral.